This 449-nucleotide ribosomal RNA is filed under the name uncultured bacterium. Its description in RNAcentral is "partial 16S ribosomal RNA". It matches the Rfam family "Bacterial small subunit ribosomal RNA", at positions 29 to 523 of the family's 1533-position model. The record is from RNAcentral.
AACGAACGCUGGCGGCAGGCCUAACACAUGCAAGUCGAACGGGACCUUCGGGUCUAGUGGCGGACGGGUGAGUAACGCGUGGGAACGUGCCCUUUGGUCCGGAAUAGCCCUGGGAAACUGGGAGUAAUACCGGAUACGGUCGAGAGACGAAAGAUUUAUCGCCGAAGGAUCGGCCCGCGUUGGAUUAGGUAGUUGGUGGGGUAAUGGCCUACCAAGCCGACGAUCCAUAGCUGGUUUGAGAGGAUGUUCAGCCACACUGGGACUGAGACACGGCCCAGACUCCUACGGGAGGCAGCAGUGGGGAAUCUUAGACAAUGGGGGAAACCCUGAUCUAGCCAUGCCGCGUGAGCGAUGAAGGCCUUAGGGUUGUAAAGCUCUUUCAGUGGGGAAGAUAAUGACGGUACCCACAGAAGAAGCCCCGGCUAACUCCGUGCCAGCCGCCGCAGUAA